AUGUUAAAUUUCAAAUUACUGAAACAUUUUCUUACCUUCAGUAAUCAGGUAAACUGGUCAGCCCUUGCACAGGAUGUCUUUUCAAGGAGCAGGAAAAUACUGUCUGAUUUUGGAGACGCUGACAUUUUAAGAAAGAAUACUGAAAUAUUUGAAAAUAACACAAGACAAAAGAGACUUAUCAUGCAGUACUUCUAGAAGAAUCCAGUUUUCCAUGAAAAACACCAUCUGUGAAAACCAAGCCAGCAGGACUUCUUGUUCAGAAUGGGUCAAGACAAGAUGUUUACACAAAUACCUUUAUUAUAGAAGA
Molecule: long non-coding RNA, 307 nt
Filed under: Anas platyrhynchos platyrhynchos (common mallard)
Lineage: Eukaryota; Metazoa; Chordata; Aves; Anseriformes; Anatidae
Description: lncRNA (ENSAPLG00000025702.1)
Source: RNAcentral